This 918-nucleotide ribosomal RNA is filed under the name uncultured Syndiniales. Its description in RNAcentral is "SSU rRNA". It matches the Rfam family "Eukaryotic small subunit ribosomal RNA", at positions 612 to 1556 of the family's 1831-position model. The record is from RNAcentral. Lineage: Eukaryota; Dinophyceae; Syndiniales.
GUUGCGGUAAAAAGCUCGUAGUUGGAUUUCUGUUGAGGACGACCGGUCCAUACCACGUAUGCGCAUCUGGCUCGGCCUCGGCAUCCUCUCGAAAGACGUUUCUGCGCUUGAUUGCGUGGAGCGGAUCUCGGGACUUUUACUUUGAGGAAAUUAGAGUGUUCACGGCAGGCUAUCGCCAGAAUACAUUAGCAUGGAAUAAUACUAUAGGAUCUCGGUUCUAUUUUGUUGGUUUCUAGAAUUGAGAUAAUGAUUAAUAGGGACAAUUGGGGGCAUUCGUAUCAACACGUCAGAGGUGGAAUUCUUGGAUUGUGUUGCGACGAACUACUGCGAAAGCAUUUGCCAAGGAUGUUUUCAUUGAUCAAGAACGAAAGUAAGGGGAUCGAAGACGAUUAGAUACCUUUUUAGUCUUUACCAUAAACUAUGCCAACUAGAGAUGGGACAUCGUUCACUUACGACUUGUUCCGCACCUUAUGAGAUAUCAAAGUCUUUGGGUUCCGGGGGGAGUAUGGUCGCAAGGCUGAAACUUAAAGGAAUUGACGGAAGGGCACCACCAGGAGUGGAGCCUGCGGCUUAAUUUGACUCAACACGGGGAAACUCACCAGGUCCAGACAUAAUAAGGAUUGACAGAUUGAUAGCUCUUUCUUGAUUUUAUGGGUGGUGGUGCAUGGCCGUUCUUAGUUCGUGGAGUGAUUUGUCUGCUUAAUUGCGUUAACGAACGAGACCUUAACCUGCUAAAUAGGAUCACCUAUCUCCGGAUAAGUGACUUUCUUCUUAGAGGGACUUUAUGCGUUUCAGCAUGAGGAAGUUUGAGGCUAAAACAGGUCUGUGAUGCCCUUAGAUGUUCUGGGCUGCACGCGCGCUACACUGAUGCGUUCAACGAGUGUACAACCUUGCCCGAUAGGGUUGGGUAACCUUUUG